CGAACGACAGCACAGUAAGAGCUUGCUCUUAUGGGUGGCGAGUGGCGGACGGGUGAGGAUNCAUCGGAAUCUACUCUGUCGUGGGGGAUAACGUAGGGAAACCUACGCUCCUACCGCAUACGACCUACGGGUGAAAGCAGGGGAUCUUCGGACCUUGCGCGAUUGAAUGAGCCGAUGUCGGAUUAGCUAGUUGGCGGGGUAAAGGCCCACCAAGGCGACGAUCCGUAGCUGGUCUGAGAGGAUGAUCANCCACACUGGAACUGANACACGGUCCANACUCCUACGGGAGGCAGCAGUGGGGAAUAUUGGACAAUGGGCGCAAGCCUGAUCCAGCCAUACCGCGUGGGUGAAGAAGGCCUUCGGGUUGUAAAGCCCUUUUGUUGGGAAAGAAAUCCAGCUGGCUAAUACCCGGUUGGGAUGACGGNACCCAAAGAAUAAGCACCGGCUAACUUCGUGCCAGCNGCCGCGGUAAUACNAAGGGUGCAAGCGUUACUCGGAAUUACUGGGCGUAAAGCGUGCGUAGGUGGUCGUUUAANUCCGUUGUGAAAGCCCUGGGCUCNNCCUGGGAACUGCAGUGGAUACUGGGCGACUAUAGUGUGGUAGAGGGUAGCGGAAUUCCUGGUGUAGCAGUGAAAUGCGUAGAGAUCAGG
RNAcentral lists this ribosomal RNA (650 nucleotides) under uncultured Gammaproteobacteria bacterium. RNAcentral describes it as "bacterial SSU rRNA". It matches the Rfam family "Bacterial small subunit ribosomal RNA", at positions 63 to 701 of the family's 1533-position model. Lineage: Bacteria; Pseudomonadati; Pseudomonadota; Gammaproteobacteria. The record is from RNAcentral.